This is a long non-coding RNA of Mauremys mutica (yellowpond turtle), 2024 nucleotides long. RefSeq lists it as uncharacterized. The record is from RefSeq and is a predicted model, not a curated record. The transcript has 4 exons. NCBI's taxonomy places the organism in Eukaryota, Metazoa, Chordata, Testudines, Geoemydidae.
GUCAGAGAAGAGGAAAUGCAUGCGAGGAACUGGGAGCAAGAGGCAUGAAAGAAGCUGAAAAAAGUGUAGCGUGAGCAGCAGCGGUUCAAGCUUCCCUAUUCUGCCAAGGUGCCAACAGAUUCUAAGGGGGAGACUAUCCCUGAAAUGAGAGGAGAGUUCCGCCUCCGUGUCCGUUUAAUCCUUGGUCUCUCUGAAGCAAAUAAAUUGCACUCCAUUUCAUAGCAUUGUAUAGAGAAUAAUCGGGGCUGAUGUGGAAUAGCUAGCCAAUCAACAUGCAGUAUAUUGAAAAGGUGCAACUAAAAGCAGCAAGGAAGAGGAGGAGGAAAAAGAGGGGAAGUCAAGAGGGUAGAGAAAGAGAGAAGAGAAGGCAUAGUAGUAGAGGAAGAGAGAGAAGAUGGAAAUAAAUGAAAAGCAAAACAGAGUGCAGAGGAAAAUUAGAGCAUUGACCUAUUGUAACUUUGGUUAUAGCAUCUUGAGAAGUGAUGGGCACUCACUAGGUAAUUGGUACUGUUCUAAGUAGAUAGAAAUGGUGAUUCUUUUAGACCUGGGGUUACCGUAAUCACGAUUAAAAGAAAUUGGGUGUCUAGGAAGACAAUACAAGUCAUUUCUAUCAGACCAUUUUGAAUCUUUGUUCUAUCUGGCUUGCUCUGCAGACAAAGCUGCAUAUUUCUCUAUGUAAGUGAAUCUUCUCUAGGUCAAGUUAUUCAGAAAAAGAAGAGAGACUGAAUAGUGCACAUGUAAGAACUGAGAAUCCCCUGCAUUUUCUUUGAGGCUUUUGUGUACAUGAUGAGCUAGAAUAACCUCCGUGAACUGAAUUAUCCUUCCAUACUAUGGUUCAGUGAAUAUCAUUAUAUUUCAGCACAGCUUGAGUGAUUUUUAAUGCCAAAAACAUCAGCAAGAAAUACAAAUGUUACAAAAAAAUAUUGAAACAAUACCAUAAAAAAGCCCAGGAUCAUAAAUACUUUACUUUGCACGGUCUCAAAGGUCAACAUAGCUAUAGUGUGGAAAAUUAAAAUGCUCUUCGUAUGAAUAUCUUUGGAAAAAAAUGCAGUGGUUUACUCUAAAAAUGCAAAAUUCCAUUCCCCGAAUCUAUUUGAGGCCGAUUAACAAGAAAAAACUAUUUUCCUGGCAGUUGGAACUGAUGAAGUUAUUCACCUGUGAUUGUUCUGAAUGUUCUUUCGUAUAGUAUUAAAUACAAUUUAAUUAAAGUUGAAUUACGGUGUGUGGAAAAACAGCGACAGCUGUCUUGUGAGUGAUGUACUUGCCCAUACAAAGGAACAUAGAGACACCCAUAAGUCAGAGGUUUUUAGCAGAAUAAAAUCAAACAUGUUCAGAAGUGAAAAGAGAGAUUUGUGACAAGCUUUGAUGCUGGGCAUCUCUCUGCAACCGUGUGUUUUAUCCACAUGCAGCCCUUGUGAGUAGAACAAGAACAUGUAUAAACUGGAUUAAGGGGGAAGGAUAGGGAAGAAGCUCUGAUAUCCAUCAUACAAUCCCAAGGUGGAUUUCAGCAACUACCCUCAGCUAGCUUCUUGUACUAGAACUAGCCUUUGCCCUGUACUUUUGAACAGCCUUGCCACUAAUGGUGCAAGGGCCUUCUCCUUUGCAGCUUCUGCUGUCUUGGCCACCUUUCUCUAUUCCUUUGCCUGAUUGCUGUUUCAAAUGAUAUCUCAUCUGAAAACAUCUCUCCUUUACCUAUAACUCUUAAUAUUUUUGUAUUGUAUUUGUAUCUCUUUGUAUUGUUAUUUAUCAGUAGCUGAUAGUGGUCCUCUCUUGAGGUGGAUUACAUUGUCAAUGUGCGUGCCUGAGUCAUUCUCUCUGAGAUCUGACUUCUAAAUAUUGCAAUGUUAUUUAGCUUUCUUAUAUUAAUCAAAGAGAGCCACCUGUGAUAAAUACAAGGAGGCUCUUUUCUUAAUCUUUUUCUUAUUCAUAUCUAUGUAGCUUUUCAGCCCCCUGGCAGUGCUCCUUAUUUUUUUUUCAAAACAUGGAUCAAAUGGAAUGAAGUAAUAUUACCCACACCAGCUUAC